ACACCUCAACUCUCGUGGUCCGCCAUGAUGAGCUUGGACUUUGGGGGUCUUGCCGGCCCGACGUCGGCUCCUCUAAAAUGGAUCAGCUUGCCAGUGUUUGGUGGCGUCACAGGUGUGAUAACUAUCUACGCUCGUGGUUCCCCACCAUGUGACCUUCAGCGAUGGAGGCUCACUGGAGCUCACAGAUGUCUCUCCUUGGUGAGGACAGCUUUUUGAAC
Molecule: unclassified non-coding RNA, 218 nt
Filed under: uncultured Tomentella
Lineage: Eukaryota; Fungi; Basidiomycota; Agaricomycetes; Thelephorales; Thelephoraceae
Description: sequence contains ITS2
Source: RNAcentral